RNAcentral lists this ribosomal RNA (1173 nucleotides) under uncultured bacterium. RNAcentral's name for it is "bacterial SSU rRNA". It matches the Rfam family "Bacterial small subunit ribosomal RNA", at positions 25 to 1163 of the family's 1533-position model. The record is from RNAcentral.
CAGGACGAACGCUGGCGGCGUGCCUAAUACAUGCAAGUCGAACGCACUGACGUCGACAGAAGGUGCUUGCACUGGAAGUUGAUUGACGUGAGUGGCGGACGGGUGAGUAACACGUGGGUAACCUGCCCUUAAGCGGGGGAUAACAUUUGGAAACAGAUGCUAAUACCGCAUAAAAGUUGAGAUCACAUGGUCUUAAUUUGAAAGACGGCCUUUGGCUGUCACUUAAGGAUGGACCCGCGGCGUAUUAGCUAGUUGGUGAGAUAAUAGCCCACCAAGGCGAUGAUACGUAGCCGACCUGAGAGGGUAAUCGGCCACAUUGGGACUGAGACACGGCCCAAACUCCUACGGGAGGCAGCAGUAGGGAAUCUUCCACAAUGGACGAAAGUCUGAUGGAGCAACGCCGCGUGAGUGAAGAAGGUUUUCGGAUCGUAAAACUCUGUUGUUGGAGAAGAACAGGGACUAGAGUAACUGUUAGUCCUUUGACGGUAUCCAACCAGAAAGCCACGGCUAACUACGUGCCAGCAGCCGCGGUAAUACGUAGGUGGCAAGCGUUGUCCGGAUUUAUUGGGCGUAAAGCGAGCGCAGGCGGUUUCUUAAGUCUGAUGUGAAAGCCUUCGGCUUAACCGAAGAAGUGCAUCAGAUACUGGGAAACUUGAGUGCAGAAGAGGAAAGUGGAACUCCAUGUGUAGCGGUGAAAUGCGUAGAUAUAUGGAAGAACACCAGUGGCGAAGGCGGCUUUCUGGUCUGUAACUGACGCUGAGGCUCGAAAGUAUGGGGAGCGAACAGGAUUAGAUACCCUGGUAGUCCAUACCGUAAACGAUGAAUGCUAAGUGUUGGAGGGUUUCCGCCCUUCAGUGCUGCAGCUAACGCAUUAAGCAUUUCGCCUGGGGAGUACGACCGCAAGGUUGAAACUCAAAGGAAUUGACGGGGGCCCGCACAAGCGGUGGAGCAUGUGGUUUAAUUCGAAGCUACGCGAAGAACCUUACCAGGUCUUGACAUCUAGCGCCAAUCCUAGAGAUAGGACGUUCCCUUCGGGGACGCUAAGACAGGUGGUGCAUGGUUGUCGUCAGCUCGUGUCGUGAGAUGUUGGGUUAAGUCCCGCAACGAGCGCAACCCUUAUGAUUAGUUGCCAGCAUUUAGUUGGGCGCUCUAAUCAGACUGCCGGUGACAAAC